Molecule: transfer RNA, 74 nt
Filed under: Caudoviricetes sp.
Lineage: Duplodnaviria; Heunggongvirae; Uroviricota; Caudoviricetes
Description: tRNA-Met
Rfam family: tRNA
About the family: Transfer RNA (tRNA) molecules are approximately 80 nucleotides in length. Their secondary structure includes four short double-helical elements and three loops (D, anti-codon, and T loops). Further hydrogen bonds mediate the characteristic L-shaped molecular structure. tRNAs have two regions of fundamental functional importance: the anti-codon, which is responsible for specific mRNA codon recognition, and the 3' end, to which the tRNAs corresponding amino acid is attached (by aminoacyl-tRNA synthetases). tRNAs cope with the degeneracy of the genetic code in two manners: having more than one tRNA (with a specific anti-codon) for a particular amino acid; and 'wobble' base-pairing, i.e. permitting non-standard base-pairing at the 3rd anti-codon position.
Source: RNAcentral
GGCCCAAUAGCUUAAUCGGUUAAAGCAGACGACUCAUAAUCGUUAUAGUGCAGGUUCAAGUCCUGUUUGGGCCA